UAUGAUUGCCUUGUCCUUGUAUGUAUCCCUUUUUGUAAAGAACAUGCUCUUUAAUAUUAUGUACAAAUUUUUGUUUAUCAAUGACAUACAAGUUUUUUGUGAAAUGAAUGAGUACAUUUUUGUGCUUAAAUAAUUGAAUGGAUGAUUGUAUAUUAUUACAAUGAAUAUGCUUGAUUGGCAUACAUUUUCUUGAAAUGUAGUGAUGAAUAAAUUAAUAAAUAUAACUCCAAUGGGAAGAAACUUUUGUUAACCUUUUGGAUUAUGACAAAAAGAGAGAGAAAUUAGGAGAAAUUUAGAGAGUACUACUAGAACAUAUUUCAAAAAAAUAGAGAAAAAAUUAGAGAAAUUUCAAAAAGGGG
This 359-nucleotide long non-coding RNA is filed under the name Elaeis guineensis (African oil palm). RNAcentral describes it as "long non-coding RNA (EGUI_LNC031405)". Lineage: Eukaryota; Viridiplantae; Streptophyta; Magnoliopsida; Arecales; Arecaceae. The record is from RNAcentral.